UACGUAGGGGGCAAGCGUUAUCCGGAUUUACUGGGUGUAAAGGGAGCGCAGGCGGCCGAAUAAGUCAGAAGUGAAAUCCCGGGGCUCAACUCCGGGGCUGCUUUUGAAACUGUUUGGCUUGAUUGCAGGAGAGGUAAGUGGAAUUCCUAGUGUAGCGGUGAAAUGCGUAGAUAUUAGGAGGAACACCAGUGGCGAAGGCGGCUUACUGGACUGUAAAUGACGCUGAGGCUCGAAAGCGUGGGGAG
RNAcentral lists this ribosomal RNA (245 nucleotides) under uncultured Lachnospiraceae bacterium. Its description in RNAcentral is "partial 16S ribosomal RNA". It matches the Rfam family "Bacterial small subunit ribosomal RNA", at positions 524 to 768 of the family's 1533-position model. Lineage: Bacteria; Bacillati; Bacillota; Clostridia; Lachnospirales; Lachnospiraceae. The record is from RNAcentral.